CCUACGGGAGGGCAGCAGUGGGGAAUUUUGCGCAAUGGGGGAAACCUUGACGCAGCAACGCCGCGUGGGUGAUGAAGGCCUUCGGGUCGUAAAGCCCUGUCAGGUGGGAAGAAACAUAUCGGUGCUAAUAUCACCGAUGUUUGACGGUACCGCCGGAGGAAGCACCGGCUAACUCCGUGCCAGCAGCCGCGGUAAUACGGAGGGUGCAAGCGUUGUUCGGAAUUACUGGGCGUAAAGCGCGUGUAGGCGGUCGGGCAAGUCAGAUGUGAAAGCCUUCCGCUUAACGGAAGAAGUGCAUUUGAAACUACCCGGCUGGAGUACGGGAGAGGAGAGUGGAAUUCCCGGUGUAGAGGUGAAAUUCGUAGAUAUCGGGAGGAACACCAGUGGCGAAGGCGGCUCUCUGGUCCGAUACUGACGCUGAGACGCGAAAGCGUGGGGAGCAAACAGGAUUAGAUACCCUGGUAGUCCACGCCGUAAACGAUGGGCACUAGGUGUAGGAGGUAUUGACCCCUUCUGUGCCGAAGUUAACGCAUUAAGUGCCCCGCCUGGGGAGUACGGCCGCAAGGCUAAAACUCAAAGGAAUUGACGG
Molecule: ribosomal RNA, 589 nt
Filed under: uncultured bacterium
Lineage: Bacteria
Description: bacterial SSU rRNA
Rfam family: Bacterial small subunit ribosomal RNA
Source: RNAcentral